GUUGAUUACUGUGAAAAAGAAAGAAACACUAGCAGAAAGAAACGACAAUACAUUUUUAGAAAGGAAGUUAAUCACAUUUGACCUAACACUAAGUGGCAUCUUCUCUUCUAGUUUUCAUUACUGUUGUCUACUUUUGUAUCUGUUUUGAGAGCAUGCCACAGAGUGCAUUUUUGGCAUUGAUAUCUAAUUACUUGUAAUGCACAAGCCUCUCAGAUGGCUGAGCAGGAAGUAGGAAGCUCUGAGGAUGAAGUAUUCCCCCAUAGUUCCCCAUGCUGACUGCAGCCAAUCACCUGCUGUUGCCUGGUCUGUUGAUGUGCCUGUCUGCACAGUAUGACUCUAUCCCUGGUGUGCGUGGAUCUAAAGGCUUGACGGGGUUGAGAGGCGUUCGGCUGUCAUGUCGUGCAUUACUGCACAGAGAGUGAGAGGUGAUUGUUCACUCGCUGACACAGAGGCAUCAUAGCAUUGCCUUGAGCAACGCUUACAUGGCAGUCAUCUGAAUCACAGGUGUUUGUGUUUUGCUCAGUGUAGGUGGCUGUCAGGGGAAACCAUUGCAGCGCUUUCAUCUAUUAUAGUUCCUUCAGUUCCGGCCUGAGAACAGAGUCUGUUACUGCUCAAACCCAUGUCAACUUCAUAGUAAGACUGAACCACUAAACCUCUCAGAUAUCAAGCCCUGUGCAACAACAUGCUGAGAAGAAAAUGUUCUCGUAGGUUUGGCAACAUUUUGGUUAUGAUGCAAUAUUUUCUUUUUUUUUGUGAUUGUUGAAGACAGUGGUUUGGCAGCUGUUUGCAUUUUGCUUCUUGGUUUCCAUUAAAUACCUUACACUACUUGCAUGGUCCUACGUGGCUUUUCAUGUUAUUUCCCAAGAAACCCUUUAAUGUGUUUGUUCUUUGAUGAAUUUAUACUUUAUUUUGAGUCACCUUUAUA
This is a long non-coding RNA of Cyprinus carpio carpio, 925 nucleotides long. Lineage: Eukaryota; Metazoa; Chordata; Actinopteri; Cypriniformes; Cyprinidae. The record is from Ensembl.